This 637-nucleotide long non-coding RNA is filed under the name Homo sapiens (human). Its description in RNAcentral is "non-protein coding lnc-IGLL1-1:51". Lineage: Eukaryota; Metazoa; Chordata; Mammalia; Primates; Hominidae. The record is from RNAcentral.
CAUCAUGGAGAAGUUCAACACAUCCAGCCUACGACCAGCACCUGUGGGAGGUGGAUAUUCAAGGCAGCAGAGCCUACAGCCGGGGCAUGGAGAAGGCAGGGCUCCUCGCCAAGGCCGAGAUGGAUGGUGGUUGAGGAGUGGGCCCAGGGCACCUUCAAACUCAACCCCAAUGAUGAGGACAUCCACACAGCCAACAAGUGCCACCUGAAGGAUCAUUGGUGAAACCGCAGGGAAGGCGCACAUGGGAUGGAGCUGGAAUGACCAGGUGCAGGUGGUCACGGACCUCAGGUUGUGGAUGUGGCAGACCUGCUUCACGCUCUCGGGCCUCCUCUGGGAGCUCAUCAGGACUAUGGGGGAUUGGGCAGAGCCACCUUUCUGCCCGGCACUCAGAUGCCAUUCCACUAGGCCCACGAGGCCUCCAAGGAAAGCCAUGUUCAUGGCCGAGACCAAGGGGGUUGCCCUCAACCAGCUGUCACUACGGGAGCUGCAGACCAAGCCCCCUGUUCUCAGGCGACAUGAGCCGCAUGUGGGAAUACGGGCACAGCGUGGAGCAGUACAGUGCCCUGGAUGGCACUGAGCACUCCAGCGUCGACUGGCAGAUCUGCCAGGUGCGGGCGCUACUACAGGCACAGCAGGC